RNAcentral lists this long non-coding RNA (1450 nucleotides) under Gossypium barbadense (sea-island cotton). Its description in RNAcentral is "long non-coding RNA (GBAR_LNC018125)". Lineage: Eukaryota; Viridiplantae; Streptophyta; Magnoliopsida; Malvales; Malvaceae. The record is from RNAcentral.
AUUUUCAUUCCAAAAACCAUCCUCAUUGCAGCGCAAAAGCUUAAAGAACACCAAAAUUAAUUUUGGUGUUCAUCAGCAAGGUAAGAACACACAAUCCUUCCAAGAAAACUUUUACGUUCUUUGACAUGUCAGUUUAUGAUUUACCUAUUUAGUUAGGUAAUAGAGUUUUCUUUGACAUUUUGGCAUAUAUGAAUGUGUGUGCUAUUUGUUAUUUAGAUAACUUGUUUUUUUCUGAAUUCUAUUAAAAUUUUAAUAUAAAAGAUGCUAUUUGUUGGGUCUCAAUUGUAUUUAGGAUCUUUGUUGUUUUGAGUUGUAUCUUUUUAAUUAUUUGAAAAAUAUUUGAUUAUAAAUAUAAGAUAUUAUCUUUGAUUCAGAUUAAUGGAAAAUGUGAAGAGGAUUGAUUCAAUAUAUAUUUAUUAUUUUGGAUACAUUAUAUUCAAAAUUCUUAAUUUCAUAGUGCUUCUUGUGGUGCAUUAUAUAACUUCUGGAGUGAAGAAACAAGGAAAUCAUUGUAUAAGAUAAAAUGGUAUUUUAUUUAUACUUAUAUUAUUUGUAUUUUUCUGAUUAAUUUUUUCUUUUGCUAAAUGAAAUAACUUGUCAAUGCUAUUUUGAAUAAUUUUUUUAAUAUAGAUGCUUUUUUUUUUUUGAUAUAUUACCUUUCUUCAUUAUAAUGUUGCAACAUAGAAAGAAAACAUGAGAAUGAGAAUGAGAAUUUACUAACGGUUUAGACAUUUGAUAGUUUUAUUUGAAGAAAGAUUGUAGUAUGAAAUUGUAGGGGUUUUUUUUUAUUGGUUUUAAUUUGUUUGGUUAUAUUCGAAAUUUAAGCUUUUUUGAAGGUGAAAAUAUGAACAAGUUCCCAAAUUUUGAGGAUCCAUAUAAUUAUGAAGAGUGAAAUGUUAUUUGCUACUGUGGGAGUAAAAUGCCUGGACACACUUCAUGGAAAGAUCGCAAAGUGGGUAAGGGAUUUUAUGGGUGUAGAAAUUACAAAGUUUGCUCUAGUGAUAAUAAUUUGCAUCAAGAUUUCGUAGUGGAUUAGAUAUUAAUUUUUGGAAAUAUGUAGGUUCGCAGAUGUAAUUUUUUUUAUUGGUAUCAUCCUCUUAAAGAUAAUGUACGAGCGAAAGAAAUGAUGAUUUGUUUAAGAGAUGCUUACAAAGUAAUAGCGAAGGAGAAUGCAAAGUUAUAAACUCAUAAUAGAGUGUUGAUAUAAAUUAGGACUCUGAAAGUUGAAGUUGAUUUGUUAGAAGAAAAGUUAAAGGAUAACAUAGCCAACGAACGGAAAUUAGUGAACAAGUAGAACUUAUACAAAAUUGCAUUAUUAUUAUUAUUAUUAUUAUUUGUGUGUGUGGAUUGUUAACAUUAGUGAAGAAAUAAAGGAAAAUGCAUAUAAGUGGUGAUGUGUAUUUGCACUCAAAAUGUGUGUAAUGUGUUGACAGUUAUAAUUUGACAAUGG